Molecule: non-coding RNA, 332 nt
Organism: Paramuricea clavata
Lineage: Eukaryota; Metazoa; Cnidaria; Anthozoa; Malacalcyonacea; Plexauridae
Source: the annotation of a GenBank genome assembly
CAAAUGUGUGUAAAAUUGUCGUUAUUUCUAAGAUUGUUAGUACGUUUGUCAGGGAGAAGAUCGUACAAUUUAUGACUUGGUUUAGUCAUUCUUUUAAAGUGUGAUCUGCAAAGUUCAUCUCGUCUUUGUGAAAGACUUGGAAGCGGAAUAACUUCCAAGGCCUUCCUGUAAGAUAGGUCAGGAUAAAUUAUUCUUAGUGCUCGCUUUUGGACCCGCUCGACGUCAUCAGAAAGGUAUUGGGAAGCACCAAAGUUCCAUAAUUGGCAACCGUAUUCGAGGACUGAUCUUAUGCAGGUAGUAUAGACGGUUAAAAGGGAUGUAUGAUCAAGUCC